Long non-coding RNA from Alligator mississippiensis (American alligator), 6265 nucleotides. RefSeq lists it as uncharacterized. The transcript has 2 exons. Lineage: Eukaryota; Metazoa; Chordata; Crocodylia; Alligatoridae. The record is from RefSeq and is a predicted model, not a curated record.
CGGCCGGGCGCGGCCGCCCGUUCCGCGCGGGGUAAACAAGGCGCCGCGCAUGCGCGCCCGGGGCGGGGACGGGACGUGACGUCGCGUGCGCGCGGGAGGGGGAGGGGACGUGCCCGCAGCAGCUGCCGCCUUCCGUCACCUCCCCGCUACCCCCCCCCCAACCCCCGGCGGAGCGUUAACUGCCGUUCUGAGGGCCCUGCCCCCCCCCCACCUCGCGGGCAGUUCUAAGGGCCCCCCCCCGCCCCGGGACCGUUAACGGCCGUUCUGAGGGCCCUGCCCCCCACACACACACGCACAGAGGCGCCCCUCCCAGUCCUGAAAGGCGAGCGCCUCAGUGCCCUGACGUGGCUAAAGUCAGGAGGCCCUUUGCUCCAUUUGUGAAACAGCCCCGAGGGCCCUUGGGUGACUGGUUCUGCGCUAGGCAGGACUUGGGGGAAGGGAAGCAGCCUGCUCGGGGGCCGGCCCCAAUAACCAGGCCCGGGGCAGGGGUGGAGAGCCAAGUGCAAGAUGCUGGCGAAGAAGUGGGGCAAACAGGGCAGUUGGCUGGGAGCAAGAGGGGGUCAGGAACAGGAGCGGGGUGGCAGGCCGGGCCGGGGCAGAUAAGCGAGCCAGGGCCCGGCCAUUACAUCAGUCUGACACAAGCUCUAGAGGAAGAGGAGCCCAUUCAGGCCCAGGAGGGUGUCCAAGAAGACUGCCCCCUUCCACAACAAGCCAGGGAACGGGGAGCAAACAAGGCGGUUUGCCGCCCCCCCCCUCCCCCCUUAAAGAGGAGCCUUUAAGAUUCGUUACUUAAUUAAGAGUAACCUUCACAUAGUUACUGUAAGUAGCCUGGUAACGCUUUCUUGCCUUCCUUCACAGUAAACUUGGUGAGAAGAAUCGAGUUAGGAAGGAAAAGGGAACCUUUUGGGACCAAGGGGCAGUGAAUGGGCCAGUUUACAGAGGCAUUUGCUAGGGAAACUCAGGAAGAGUUUGCUGGGGAAACAUCAGGAAGAACUUUUUUACGGGCAGGGGGUCAGACUCGAUCUACUGAGGUCCCUUCCGACCCUAACGACUAUGGAAGGUCUGCUUGGAGAAAGGCGGCAGAUUGAGAGACCUAGAGAAGCAGCUGGAGGGUGUCGCAAGGCCAGAGCCACUUCCACUGCCAGCUCUUCCUCUGCUGGCACCUGUGAGGUGCGUGUCCAGGCAGGACCGCUCACUGCCAAGGCUCCGACCCAAGUCCUGGUUCGUGCUGUGGGCUUACAGGUUUCUUCCAGUGCUGGCCUGUGAUGCGAGGGAUAUAGCUCAGGGAGCAGACAAGAGACACAGGAGAAAGUGGCAAGGCUCCAAAGCAUCCUCCACUUUGAUGCUGAAGGAAACCUGAAGAACUGCCAGAGACAGUGCUAGAGGAAGAAAAGGACAGGAACUUCUAGGAAGGUGAAAACUUGUGAUCUCUGGCAGCAGGCAGAAGUCUAUACAGGCAGCCGUAGCAACAGAGGAGAAGAAGCAUGUUUUAUUGGUGGAAGAGGACAGGACAGGCCUCCCCAAGGUUGGGAGGAUGGAGAUCACUGCCACCAAGAGGAAGCAAUGGGUGGUGGUGGUUGGAGACUCCCUUCUGUGGGGGGGUCAGAGACCUCUAUCUGCCAGCCUGACCUGUUGUCUUUGGUCUGCCUGAAUCCAGGAUGUCAGAGAAGGAUUAGUGAGACUCAUCCCAGCUCUCUGCUACCCCAUGCUCUUCAUCCAUGUGGGCAUAAGUGAUAUACAGCCAGGGGUGACGCUGAGCAGCUCAAAAGUCACUUCCGGGUACAAGGGUAAAGGGAACAGGCUCAUGUGGUGUUCUCGAUCCUUCUAGUCAAGGGGGAGAGCCCAGACAGGAGUGGACACAUCUUGCAAAUCAAUGCGUGGCUAUGCAGAUAGUGUCAUCAGCAGGUCUUUGGCUUCUUCAACCACGGGCUUGUGCUCCAAGAAGAAGGAUUGUUAGGAAGAGACAGAAUAGCAGGGAAAGAAGGAGAACAGCAGAGUAUGGGCUCUGGACUUCAGAAAAGUGGACUUUGAUUUGCUCUGGGAACUCAUGGGCAGGAUCCCCUGGGAGGCCAGUCUGAGGGGGAAAGGAGUCUAAGAGAGCUCUGGUAUCUUAAAGAAAUGUUACUGAGGGUGCAGGAAGAAAAACAUCCCAAUGCACAGGAAGACUAGCAGGUAUGGCAGCAGAUCAGCUUGGCUUAGCAGGGAACUCUUCAGUAUUCUAAAACACAAAAAGGGAGCAUACACAGAGUGGAAACAGGACAAAUGACUUGGAAGGAGUAUAAGACUAUUGCUUGGGCAUGCAGGGAUGAAGUCAGGAAGGCCAAAGCACAACUGGAGUUGCAGCUAGCAAGGGACAUGAAGGGUUUCUACAAGUAUGUCAGCAACAAGAAGGUCAGGGAAAGUGUGGGUCCCUUACUGAAUGGAGGCAACCUAGUGACAGUCAAUGCAAAAAAGGCUGAAGUACUCAAUGCCUUUUCAUCUCAAUUUUUAUUGCCAAGGUUAGCUCCCAGACUACUGCACCAGGCAGCACAGUUUGGGCAGAGCUCAGCAGCCAACAGUGACAAAAGAACAGGUGAGUGGGUAUUUAAAAAAACUGGACACGUGCAAGUCCCCAGGGCCAGAUGCAGUACACCUGAUGGUGCUGAGGGAGUUGGCAGGUGUGAUUGCAGUCACUGGCCAUUAUUUUUUAAAACUCAUGGUGGCCAGGAGAGGUCCCAGAUGACUGGAAGAGGGCAAAUAUAGUGCCCAUCUUUAAGAAAGGGAAGAAGGAUCCAGGGAACUACAGUCUGGUCAGCCUCACCUCAGUUUCUGUUUCUUAUCUCAGUCUAUGUAUUUUUACAUUGUCACAAUUUAUCGCACAGUAGAUACCUCUAAAACCACUUCUUCCAACCACAGUACCUACAAGAAGGGAGUGUACAACUCUGGGAAGGAGAUGCAUACUUUUUAAACACAAAUUAUCUCCAUCUUUGAUUCCCUCAUUGUGUUUUCUCUUUUGUAUGUAUGCUUUGUAGAUCUUAAGCCCUUCAUACCAGCCCCUGUCUUUAUUUUGCAUAUUGUACUGUCACACACGUUACUGGUGCUAAACAAAUAGUAAUAGGCUUGUUGCUGUUGGAUUACCAGACAUCAGCAUAUUUUUGCCCUAUUCCUCAAACUAGAGGAGAGAAUACUUAAUCAUUCUUAAUUUUGGCUUUCUGGACAAUACUAAAAAAAUAACAGUACUAGUAAAGUUGAAAGUUAAGAUUCUUCAGUAGUCUAUCCAAAAACACCUCAUAAGGCAAAGGUGACUGGAGAGAAAAGCAGACAUUAAUAAUAGUGUUUCUUUUGUGCAAUACCUCACAGUAAUUGUUAACCCAGGCAUUUUUAUUGUAAUCAGCAGUCAGGGAAAGAGAGUUUAAGAAUAUAAGGUGAUGCAAUUCUACAUUAAGUUGUUAGAAGCAAGACCAUAUCAUCUCUUGGUGGUGGCACUUAGCUGCAGUUCAAGUAUCUAGUUCAUUACAUCUACAACAUUCAACUUUUCUUUAAAAUUGUAAAUUGUUUCCUAUUGACUAGAAUCCACUUCUUUUAGCAUAAAAUAUUCAGAGUUCUGGAAUGUGACCGUUAAUCUGAUUGACUACAUCUGAAUUACUCCUUAUUACACUCUCUAGCAGCAAGAGGCGAUGCAUAACUAACUAGUAUGCAAAAUCAAUUUGAAAGCCCUAGAAAAAUAACUCAUCAACUAUAACCUGAUUUUGCUAUCACACAAAUAAAAGUUCUCUCCCCUUUUUCCCACCUUCCAAAAAUGUAGAAGACCAGGAACGUACAAAAAACAAAGUACUUUGAAAGCAGAAUGCAUUUUAAUAUUUUAAAAUAACAGCUUAAAUUGUUGCGUUUUAAGAAGUCGUCAAAGGAAAAUGGCUUUUGAGGAAAAAAGUUGAUGGGGUAAAAGUUAACAGUGUUUGUGUAGCAAAGGAGAGUUCCCUUUUGGGGCUUUGGGGGUAUCUUGCCAGCCUAGUUAUAGAUCUGUCUUCAAAGUGUUAAUUUCAUGUUUUUCACUUAGAAACAAAGGUGUUGUUGCUGAUCCUGAAUGAGAGCCUGCAAACAUCAGAUUGAAGCUGUGGAUGAAGUGUGAAAUAAUAGGUGUUCCAUCUGUGAAAAACUUAAAGCUAAAUUUAAAAACUGGGCUUCUUAUAUAGGGAUUUGAAAUUUAGAAAUAGAAAGACUAGACCAUGAAGGCCCCUAUUCAUCUAUGCUUGCUUUUUACAGUGGUAGGAAGUUGACUGCUUGAUACACCUAUUUUAUAUUGAAUAAGCUACAUCGUGUGAAAAAUAAGGUUUCUGCUGAAAUUGCGGAACUAUCGUUUUGCUUGAAAUGCAAUAGGCCUGCUCAGAUGAAAAGCUUAAACUUUGAAGAUCAUAAGAAUCUACUACAAGAGUUGAUAAAAGCACAACAAUGAAGCAGAACCAGCUGUAUAUAAAAUCCAAAUAUUAACAUUAGCUCCACAUAUUUGGUUUAUUGAGAAAACACAGUAGUUUAAGUGCAGCCUAGUCUUAAAUUUGUAGUGGAUAAUUUUUUAUUAUUAUUAUUACUACGUAAAUGGCUUAAAGAAGGGCCAUUUCUUUUGACCUUCGAGAAAAGAACCUGAUUACUUUUGAAGGGCCUGUGCACAGGUAUGGACAUGCUCAUGUGUGUCGACAGCUUCAUUGCACAUUUUGAGUUCCAGCCUGGUUUCGUCUCAAUGCCAGUCACCAAAGUUGACUCAGAUCUUAAAAAUUCCUGAUGCAUAUCUUCCCUUACUGUAUUUUCUGAAUCAAGUGACAAUACUAUUAUGUCCAACUGCUUGACAAGUAUUUAGUGGAGAUGUCAGGAAGUAAAUUUACCUUGUGUGUAGUCGCAUCGGAUUGCGUCAAAUAUUUACCAGCAAAAGAUUUACCAGUUCUUCGCGAUGCUGUCAAGACAUGGAACUGCUUUGUGACUGAUUCUCCAAGGAGCCUCAUCUCUCUCUGCAAGUUUUCCCUUUGAUUGAUUUUGCUGGUGAUGCUGGGACUUCUUGCAGGUGGAGAAGAGGGAACAAGAUGAAAACUACUUCCUCUGAUAGCCAAAAAACACAUUUUCUAGACUGCUGUCUGAGGCAAUGUCAGAGAGAACACAUUUUGUCCUCCUCCUCUUAGUUUCUCAAUGUUGGCCUCUUGCUUCAUUUGAGGCCUAUUCCCAGGGAGAUUAAGAGAAGUCUUGACAGAAAGACCAUAUUAUCCAAAACUCUACCUGCCACUGGGAAUGCUCAAGUAGUAAGCAUACUUUUUGUGCUUCUCCAAACCCUUAUUAAAAUAACCCACUUAACAGCAUUAAACCUGCAUUUUCACUCACACCGCUGGUCUUUAAUAAGGAUGAGAUGAAGAAGAGCGAGCAACUAGACCAAGUCUAAAAACACUUUAAAGGAUUUCUGUCAUUCCAGCUCCACAAGACUUGCUGAGGUACAAAGUCCUCCUCAGACUACUGCAAACAAAAUGGAAGGAAGGAGGAGGGGCUUGCUGGGAGACUGCUGCUGGAAAAGAAAUUUAAAACUGUUCAAGCUGCACAAAGUGUACUCCUAGCUACUGUUAAGAGAUCAAGGACAAGACUGAUGCCCUGCAGUCUAGAACAUGCAGAAACCAGAACUUCUGGCCUGGAAGAUCACCAUGCUGUAGAACAGUGGUUUUCAAACUUUUUAGAUUCAAGGCAUCCCUUAGACUCAUAACUUAUAUAUUACAAUGUUUACCUCCUCACAGAGGGGCCAGGUAGUGGGGGUGGAGAAAUGACCAGGCAGGGAAGAGCAUGAGUCUGUACUUCUCCAUAUCUCCUCACACCUUGGGGCACCCUUCAAAGGAUUGAGUCACACCCCUGGAUGUCUUGGCACCCGGCUUGAGAAGUAUUGCGGUAGAGAGAGGAAAAGUCUCCCUAAUAAAAAAACCAAGUAGAAUUCAUUUCUGAUGAGUCUGAAGAUCUAGAAGGCGGGGCCCAGGAGCAUAGGGGUUGCAUUACAUAUACAACUGGAUAACAAACUAGAUCAUCCCUUUGCAGGAAAUAAAUAUAUUCUUUAUCUGGGGAAAAAGCAGGAGGUUGCAUGGUAUAAAAAGACCAUCAACCCCAUUGAAAAUGAAAAGAUGGUGAAUAAUGCAAGUCAGUCUAAUAAGAAAAAGCAUGGGGAAGUAAGGUAUAUAACAUUUAUUUUAUAAUAAAAAUACUCAUUUCGGUACAUUGCCUGUAAUAUUGGAUAUGUGUAAUAAAUUUUACUGUAUGCAGCUAUGAA